AUUUGCAGAAUCUUUACAGGACAAAAGCAAGACGGAAAAUGUUAAAGGAAAAAGGAGAAGACCCAAGAAACAAAUGCAAGCAGACACAAAAGUUAGACAGAAGAACUCAAUACAGUACAAGAACCAGCUGGAAAUCCAAAGACACACCAGACAUCAGACAACAAGAAAAUGGUGAAUCUUUAUCACCUUUUGUCGUCUUUAAAAGAAGCGCCCAGCAAUACAGUUCUUCCUGGAUUUGUACAACAUUCACAGCAAGGAUUUGCCGGAGGGUAUGGUAAUCGCAUGUAUUCACAAUGUUGUGGUACCAUCCACCAAAGGGAGACCAGCCCUGUUCAUCGUAGACUCAUUACCCACUCACUCCGCAGUGUGACAGUUGCACUGGAGAACAGCUGUGAAUAUCCCUGAAGGAAUCAUGUGUAACAAAGCAGCCAGCAUUAUGGGAGGAAACCGGGCAGGGCCCAGAGGAAACCCACAACCAUCAGCAGGGGAAGCCCACGACCACCAGCAGGGGAAGCCCACGACCAUCAG
This is a long non-coding RNA of Liolophura sinensis, 528 nucleotides long. RefSeq lists it as uncharacterized. NCBI's taxonomy places the organism in Eukaryota, Metazoa, Mollusca, Polyplacophora, Chitonida, Chitonidae. The transcript has 4 exons. The record is from RefSeq and is a predicted model, not a curated record.